Trichomycterus rosablanca is the source of this 1010-nucleotide long non-coding RNA. RefSeq lists it as uncharacterized. The transcript is spliced from 3 exons. The record is from RefSeq and is a predicted model, not a curated record. Lineage: Eukaryota; Metazoa; Chordata; Actinopteri; Siluriformes; Trichomycteridae.
GUGGCACCAGACCUACCGAGACCCUGACCAGGAUUGAAUACGCGUCCAAUUGCCCGAUUGCAUCAUGCUUCCUCUCCACCAAUGCCGAUCCCCGCUCUGAUUGAGGAGAACGAAGCUAACCCACGCCCCCUCCGACACGUGGGCAGCAUGCCGUAUGCAUCUUAUCACCUACACUUUGACGAGUGCAAUGCAGCUCAGCACUGUGUACGGAGAGACACACCCAGCAGAGGUCGUAAUUGCACCAGUCAUGAGAGAGAGACCUCAUCCGGCUUAGUCCCGCCCAUCUGAACAACAGGCCAACCUUUGUUCAUGUGGCCUCUCAGCCUCAGCUGAUACGAUGUAUUCGAGAUCCCAGCUCUGGUUCAGUCGUGAAGUGGCUGUGAGUAACCUUCUAAUGACUAAUGGCACAUUAUUUCCGGAGGAAUAACAUUCACGGCGCUUGUGCCCGCUCUCCAGAAUAACGAAGCAGGUGCCCCGCCGUGAAGUCCCCUUUCAAGUCGGACUGUCAGAGAUUUUUACGUGCAUGCCAAGCGACGGACAGAGUGUGGCACUUCCCAGUCCGUUCCUGCUGCUGAAGGUGGUAGACUGUCACACAGAGUGUGUUCCUCUCCCGUGUUUCCCGAAAGCACAACGACAGUCCAGCUCAUCCGUGGAAAAUGGUGUUACGCCCCGCGGGGACGAGCAGGAGAUCAGCGCCGACUCCCUGUGAUCCCACCUCGCAGGUCGUAUUCUCUAUAUCUGCUCUAUAAAGCUGUCGGCUAGAUCCGAGGUGCUAGAUACACAUCACCCUGACUUUAAAUGCAGCUUUAGAAAGGCAUCAGCAACAUACAAGACCUUAAAAAGUAUUCAAUCCCCGUAAAUCUUUGAUAUUCUCUCGGUCUCUGUCUCUUGGUCUGCAUUCUGUGUUUCAAAUGUUGUGAAGGCUGCUUUUACCAGUUGAUCUAUAGACAAUUGUAUAGUUGUAAUCCAUUCAUUAAACAUUAUUUAUUUUAAUACUUUAUCCAGGUAAA